Molecule: small RNA, 895 nt
Filed under: Pongo abelii (Sumatran orangutan)
Lineage: Eukaryota; Metazoa; Chordata; Mammalia; Primates; Hominidae
Description: retained intron
Source: RNAcentral
CGGCCACCUGCACCUGGUGGAGCUGCUCAUCGCCAGUGGCGCCAAUCUCCUGGCGGUCAACACCGACGGGAACAUGCCCUAUGACCUGUGUGAUGAUGACCAGACGCUGGACUGCCUGGAGACUGCCAUGGCCGACCGUGGUAGGUGCGGCGGUGCGGCUGUGGGAGGGCUGCCGGUCGCGCUCCCUCUGAGCCUGCCGCCUCGCAGGCAUCACCCAGGACAGCAUCGAGGCCGCCCGGGCCGUGCCAGAACUGCGCAUGCUGGAUGACAUCCGGAGCCGGCUGCAGGCCGGGGCAGACCUCCAUGCCCCCCUGGACCACGGGGCCACGCUGGUGAGGGCUGGAGGGUGACGGGCACACGGGGCUGGGGGCCUUGCUACUUGGAGGUGGGGGAUGGGGCCGAAUUCAGGCCGGGCGCUUGCCUGCAGCUGCACAUCGCAGCCGCCAACGGGUUCAGCGACGCGGCCGCCCUGCUGCUGGAACACAGAGCCAGCCUGAGCGCUAAGGACCAAGACGGCUGGGAGCCGCUGCACGCCGCGGCCUACUGGGGCCAGGUGAGUGCGGGCGGGAGCAGGUGGGAGGGGGCUUCCAGCGCAGCAGUCUGCAGCUCCGGCCUGCCGCCUACAGGUGCCCCUGGUGGAGCUGCUCGUGGCGCACGGGGCCGACCUGAACGCAAAGUCUCUGAUGGACGAGACGCCCCUUGGUGAGCUUGCGGGGCCCACCUCCACCUGGGGGAGAGGACAGGCGGGGAGGGCGCCCCUGACGCCCGCGCCCACUUCUCAGAUGUGUGCGGGGACGAGGAGGUGCGGGCCAAGCUGCUGGAGCUGAAGCACAAGCACGACGCCCUCCUGCGCGCCCAGGGCCGCCAGCGCUGCUUGCUGCGCCGCCGCACCUCC